This 860-nucleotide ribosomal RNA is filed under the name uncultured bacterium. Its description in RNAcentral is "bacterial SSU rRNA". It matches the Rfam family "Bacterial small subunit ribosomal RNA", at positions 8 to 831 of the family's 1533-position model. The record is from RNAcentral.
AGAGUUUGAUCCUGGCUCAGGACGAACGCUGGCGGCGUGCCUAAUACAUGCAAGUCGAACGCACUGACGUCGACAGAAGGUGCUUGCACUGGAAGUUGAUUGACGUGAGUGGCGAACGGGUGAGUAACACGUGGGUAACCUGCCCUUAAGCGGGGGAUAACAUUUGGAAACAGAUGCUAAUACCGCAUAAAAGUUGAGAUCACAUGGUCUUAAUUUGAAAGACGGCCUUUGGCUGUCACUUAAGGAUGGACCCGCGGCGUAUUAGCUAGUUGGUGAGAUAAUAGCCCACCAAGGCGAUGAUACGUAGCCGACCUGAGAGGGUAAUCGGCCACAUUGGGACUGAGACACGGCCCAAACUCCUACGGGAGGCAGCAGUAGGGAAUCUUCCACAAUGGACGAAAGUCUGAUGGAGCAACGCCGCGUGAGUGAAGAAGGUUUUCGGAUCGUAAAACUCUGUUGUUGGAGAAGAACAGGGACUAGAGUAACUGUUAGUCCUUUGACGGUAUCCAACCAGAAAGCCACGGCUAACUACGUGCCAGCAGCCGCGGUAAUACGUAGGUGGCAAGCGUUGUCCGGAUUUAUUGGGCGUAAAGCCGAGCGCAGGCGGUUUCUUAAGUCUGAUGUGAAAGCCUUCGGCUUAACCGAAGAAGUGCAUCAGAUACUGGGAAACUUGAGUGCAGAAGAGGGAAGUGGAACUCCAUGUGUAGCGGUGAAAUGCGUAGAUAUAUGGAAGAACACCAGUGGCGAAGGCGGCUUUCUGGUCUGUAACUGACGCUGAGGCUCGAAAGUAUGGGGAGCGAACAGGAUUAGAUACCCUGGUAGUCCAUACCGUAAACGAUGAAUGCUAAGUGUUGGAGGGU